RNAcentral lists this ribosomal RNA (503 nucleotides) under uncultured bacterium. RNAcentral describes it as "bacterial SSU rRNA". It matches the Rfam family "Bacterial small subunit ribosomal RNA", at positions 30 to 523 of the family's 1533-position model. The record is from RNAcentral.
AUUGAACGCUGGCGGCAUGCCUUACACAUGCAAGUCGAACGACAGCACGGGGGCAACCCUGGUGGCGAGUGGCGAACGGGUGAGUAACAUAUCGGAACAUACCCUAGAGUGGGGGAUAACGUAGCGAAAGUUACGCUAAUACCGCAUACGAUCUAAGGAUGAAAGUGGGGGAUCUUCGGACCUCAUGCUCAUGGAGUGGCCGAUAUCUGAUUAGCUAGUUGGUGAGGUAAAGGCUCACCAAGGCGACGAUCAGUAGCUGGUUUGAGAGAACGACCAGCCACACUGGAACUGAGACACGGUCCAGACUCCUACGGGAGGCAGCAGUGGGGAAUUUUGGACAAUGGGGGGCAACCCUGAUCCAGCAAUGCCGCGUGAGUGAAGAAGGCCUUCGGGUUGUAAGACUCUUUGUUCUAGGGAAGAAACGGUAGAGUUCUAAUACAGCUUGCUAAUGACGGUACCUGAAGAAUAAGCACCGGCUAACUACGUGCCAGCAGCCGCGGUAA